AGGGACAGGGCUGGUUUGGAGGGCUGGAGUAGAUGCAGCCAGGAGGAAUUUCCUUUGGAGGUGGGAGGCCUCUCCAAAAGCACGCCGGCCAAAGGCCCCUGGGGCACCGUGGGACAUGGGAAGUUUCUUUGCUGUGCUCAGAGAGGGGACAUGGCAGGCCUGGGGCCAGGUGGGCUCAAUCUGCCGGAUCCUGUGGCCCCCGAGGUUGGAUUGGGCUGGGGUCUCAGGCAGAGCUGUUUCUGCACCGAAGCAGGGACCCAGGCCAGUGACUGAGUGAGCUUGCGUGACUCUGUGCCUUCUGGGUCCUGCUGGAACCCCUCUGACUCUCAGACCCUCUUCUGGGAACCGGAAGUCUCUGUCCUACCUUCUGCUGAGGGUCACAGGAGAUAGCACUUUGCAGUGUCCCCUGCCCACACAGGAGAGUUUCUCUGUACCCAUAGGCAGGAGGACCCACCCCCACACACACACACACACGCACACACACAGUACAUUCAUUCAUUAACCACAUGGUGAGUAUUCUUUGCAUCUCAGAGAUGGGGACGCAGAAGUGACCCCACUACACCCAAGGCUGCGGGAGGCUGGGUGGAGCGGAUACAUUUUGUAAACUGGAUUCCCUUAUUCAACAAAGUGCUUAGUGAAUCAGUUGACAGCAAUGCCAGGGUCCUCUGAGGACAGGGCCUUCCUGGAGGUCACUUGAGCCACUUGCCCCAAGGUGGUUUUCAGGGGAGUGUGCCCAGCGCUCGCUGCCUGUCUGCAGCUGGGCAGAGCAGCCCCUCUUCCGCGUCCAGCUCCACCUGGCUGCCCUGCCACGGCCCCAGCGGGCAACCCCCUUGUCCUUGACGCCCCUUACUGCCUGCUGCAGCUGGGUAAGUGUAGACUGCAGUGUGAGUAAUCAGCGGCCCACACUCCCAGGGUGUUGGCAGUGUUUAAAAGUUGUCUGUUAACCAAAAUGUGUUGCUGAGGUUGGACUUUUGGACAACCGCAAGGUGCUGUGAAGCUCCCAGUCAGGCCUGGGAGGGUGGGGUCUGUGGGGCUGGAAUUGGAUCUGAGUAGGCGGGUUUGGGGUUUCCAUGGGUUUGUUUGUGAGCCGCGUGGAGCCUACAGCACUGAGGAAGCCCUGCUGAGCCUCCCCUGCCAGUCCUGCCCUGUUCCUAGGCUGUGUGGCCCUGCCCUGGGCCCCAGAACCCAAGAUCCCUCCAGGGGUGCUGGAGCCCCAGCUGGCCUCAGGGAGAACAGCUGCAGAUGGCCUCCCACCCCCACCCCCCACCAACAGAGGAGUGCCGGAUCACACCCUGUCACGCCAGGAUUUUAUUUUCAAUCAGAGCGCCUACAGAGAACUAAGCCUACCGUAACCAGUGUGAGCAGACAGGGAUUUACUAUGGGGGGUGACCUCCCUCCAAUAGGAGCUUGACAGUAGCUUUUUCGAUCCGUAGGAAGAUGCCAAGAGCGGAGCUGAGAGUGCAGCACAAGGACCUCUGAGAAGUCUUGUCUUCCUCCAAGCAGUGAGAAAAGUGGCGGGAAGAAAUAGAAAAUCUGAUCCUAAAAUUCAUGUGGAAUUGCAAGAGGCCUCAGAGAGCCAAAACUACCUAAUGAAAGAACUAAGAUGGAAGACUUACAUGUCCCGAUUUCAAAACUUACUACAAAGCUAUAGUAAUCAAGGCAGUAUGGUACUGGCUUAAGGCCAGGUAUAGAGACAAUAGAACAGAAUUGAAAGUCCAGAAAUAAACCCUUACUUUUAUGGUGAACUGGUUUCAACAAGGGUGACAAAACCACUCACUGGAGGAGAGAUCAGCUCUUCAGCAAAUGGUACCGAGACAACUGGACUUCCACUUACAACACAAGGUAUUUGGACUCCUACCUCACACCAUACACAAAAAAUUAACCAUGCACAAAAUUGAUCACUGACCUAAAAGUAAAAUCCAUGAGUUUCGGGCUCACAGGGGUAGACAGACAGGGCCGAGGGGCUGGUCUCCCAGUGAAGGUGCUGGAGGUUCCUCAGUGUCCUUCCCUGACAGCUGAGCCUGGAGCCCACUCCUCGGGAUGAUGGCGCCCCUCCUCUCACACUCUGGCUCAGAAGCCAGCACUGAAAUCCACCAGGAAGGCCAAGGGACAGGAGAGAGC
Molecule: non-coding RNA, 2121 nt
Organism: Callithrix jacchus (white-tufted-ear marmoset)
Lineage: Eukaryota; Metazoa; Chordata; Mammalia; Primates; Cebidae
Source: RefSeq, a predicted model, not a curated record